RNAcentral lists this long non-coding RNA (209 nucleotides) under Gossypium barbadense (sea-island cotton). RNAcentral's name for it is "long non-coding RNA (GBAR_LNC001462)". The record is from RNAcentral. Lineage: Eukaryota; Viridiplantae; Streptophyta; Magnoliopsida; Malvales; Malvaceae.
UGAUUUUGUUGUAAACAUGGAUAAAACUUGUUUUAGUUGCUUAUAAGCUAUUGAUUAAACCCAUACUUGAAUUCUAAAUCGUGAUAUUGUAAGCUUAUGAGUAUUCGAAUAUGAAAUAAUAGUAUGGUGUAAAAUUGAAUUAUUCAUUGGAAAGUGAUGGAUGUAGAUUCGGUCAAGACCAAGUCUGUACAUGAUAGUAUAUGUGGUAU